ACGAACGCUGGCGGCGUGCUUAACACAUGCAAGUCGAACGGAAAGGCCCUGCUUUUGUGGGGUGCUCGAGUGGCGAACGGGUGAGUAACACGUGAGUAACCUGCCCUUGACUUUGGGAUAACUUCAGGAAACUGGGGCUAAUACCGGAUAGGAGCUCCUGCUGCAUGGUGGGGGUUGGAAAGUUUCGGCGGUUGGGGAUGGACUCGCGGCUUAUCAGCUUGUUGGUGGGGUAGUGGCUUACCAAGGCUUUGACGGGUAGCCGGCCUGAGAGGGUGACCGGCCACAUUGGGACUGAGAUACGGCCCAGACUCCUACGGGAGGCAACAGUGGGGAAUAUUGCACAAUGGGCGGAAGCCUGAUGCAGCAACGCCGCGUGCGGGAUGACGGCCUUCGGGUUGUAAACCGCUUUCGCCUGUGACGAAGCGUGAGUGACGGUAAUGGGUAAAGAAGCACCGGCUAACUACGUG
Molecule: ribosomal RNA, 467 nt
Filed under: uncultured bacterium
Lineage: Bacteria
Description: partial 16S ribosomal RNA
Rfam family: Bacterial small subunit ribosomal RNA
Source: RNAcentral